GCUUACGGCCACACCACCCUGAGCGCGCCUGCUCUCGUCUGAUCUCGGAAGCUAAGCAGGGUCGGGCCUGGUUAGUACUUGGAUGGGAGACCGCCUGGGAAUACCAGGUGCCGUAAGCU
This 119-nucleotide ribosomal RNA is filed under the name Lates calcarifer (barramundi perch). The record is from RNAcentral. Lineage: Eukaryota; Metazoa; Chordata; Actinopteri; Centropomidae.